Molecule: ribosomal RNA, 395 nt
Filed under: uncultured bacterium
Lineage: Bacteria
Description: bacterial SSU rRNA
Rfam family: Bacterial small subunit ribosomal RNA
Source: RNAcentral
ACCUAAUAGAUACCCUGGUAGUCCACGCCCUAAACGAUGCGAACUGGAUGUUGGGUACAUUACGGUACUCAGUGUCGAAAGCUAAACGCGUUAAGUUCGCCGCCUGGGGAGUACGGUCGCAAGACUGAAACUCAAAGGAAUUGACGGGGGCCCGCACAAGCGGUGGAGUAUGUGGUUUAAUUCGAUGCAACGCGAAGAACCUUACCUGGCCUUGACAUCUGUCGAAUCCUGCAGAGAUGCGGGAGUGCCGCAAGGAACGACAAGACAGGUGCUGCAUGGCUGUCGUCAGCUCGUGUCGUGAGAUGUUGGGUUAAGUCCCGCAACGAGCGCAACCCUUGUCCCUAGUUGCCAACACGUAAUGGUGGGAACUCUAGGGAGACUGCCGGUGACAAACC